GAUGAAGAACGUAGCGAAAUGCGAUACUUGGUGUGAAUUGCAGAAUCCCGUGAACCAUCGAGUCUUUGAACGCAAGUUGCGCCCGAAGCCACUAGGCCGAGGGCACGCCUGCCUGGGCGUCACACGCCGUUGCCCCCCCAUCUACUCCUUCGGGAUUGCGGGGGGGCGGAUGAUGGCCUCCCGUGCGCCUAGCGGCGCGGUUGGCAUAAAUACCCAGUCCUCGGCGACGCACGCAACGACAAUCGGUGGUUGCGAAACCUCGGUUGCCCGUCGUGUGCGUUCGUCGCGCAUCGAGGGCUCGAAAAAAUGCUCGGCUCCGGCUGGGCUUUCAACGCGACCCCAGGUCAGGCGGGGUUACCCGCUGAAUUUAAGCAUAUCAAUAAGCGGAGGA
RNAcentral lists this unclassified non-coding RNA (391 nucleotides) under soil metagenome. Its description in RNAcentral is "partial contains 5.8S ribosomal RNA, internal transcribed spacer 2, and large subunit ribosomal RNA". The stretch from base 1 to 122 matches the Rfam family "5.8S ribosomal RNA", at positions 35 to 154 of the family's 154-position model. The record is from RNAcentral.